This 440-nucleotide ribosomal RNA is filed under the name uncultured bacterium. RNAcentral describes it as "partial 16S ribosomal RNA". It matches the Rfam family "Bacterial small subunit ribosomal RNA", at positions 338 to 795 of the family's 1533-position model. The record is from RNAcentral.
CCUACGGGAGGCAGCAGUGGGGAAUAUUGCACAAUGGGGGAAACCCUGAUGCAGCGACGCCGCGUGAGUGAAGAAGUAAUUCGGUAUGUAAAGCUCUAUCAGCAGGGAAGAAAAUGACGGUACCUGAGUAAGAAGCCCCGGCUAACUACGUGCCAGCAGCCGCGGUAAUACGUAGGGGGCACGCGUUAUCCGGAUUUACUGGGUGUAAAGGGAGCGUAGACGGCGGUGCAAGUCUGGAGUGAAAGGCGGGGGCUCAACCCCCGGACUGCACUGGAAACUGGACGGCUGGAGUGCAGGAGAGGUAAGUGGAAUUCCUGGUGUAGCGGUGAAAUGCGUAGAUAUUAGGAGGAACACCAGUGGCGAAGGCGACUUACUGGAGUGUAACUGACGUUGAGGCUCGAAAGCGUGGGGAGCAAACAGGAUUAGAUACCCUGGUAGUC